UUAAUUUCUGGUAAUUGGAAUGAUGGGAAUUUAAACCUCUUCCAGAGUAUCAAUUGGAGGGCAAGUCUGGUGCCAGCAGCCGCGGUAAUUCCAGCUCCAAUAGCGUAUAUUAAAAUUGUUGCAGUUAAAAAGCUCGUAGUUGAAUUUCUGCUGCAUUUCAUUUCUCUUUCUGAGUUUGUUUUUGCGGCUUAUUUCGGUUUGAUUUUUUCUUUCCGGAUGAUUACUUUGAGAAAAUUAGAGUGCUCAAAGCAGGCUUUUGCCUUGAAUAGUUUAGCAUGGAAUAAUAAAGUAGGACUUUGGUUCUAUUUUGUUGGUUUUAGGUACCAAAGUAAUGGUUAAUAGGAACAGUUGGGGGCAUUCGUAUUUAACUGGCAGAAGGAAAUUCUUAG
Molecule: ribosomal RNA, 389 nt
Filed under: Theileria orientalis
Lineage: Eukaryota; Apicomplexa; Aconoidasida; Piroplasmida; Theileriidae
Description: SSU rRNA
Rfam family: Eukaryotic small subunit ribosomal RNA
Source: RNAcentral